GAUGAACGCUGGCGGCGUGCCUAAUACAUGCAAGUCGAGCGAACAGACGAGGAGCUUGCUCCUCUGACGUUAGCGGCGGACGGGUGAGUAACACGUGGAUAACCUACCUAUAAGACUGGGAUAACUUCGGGAAACCGGAGCUAAUACCGGAUAAUAUAUUGAACCGCAUGGUUCAAUAGUGAAAGACGGUUUUGCUGUCACUUAUAGAUGGAUCCGCGCCGCAUUAGCUAGUUGGUAAGGUAACGGCUUACCAAGGCAACGAUGCGUAGCCGACCUGAGAGGGUGAUCGGCCACACUGGAACUGAGACACGGUCCAGACUCCUACGGGAGGCAGCAGUAGGGAAUCUUCCGCAAUGGGCGAAAGCCUUACGGAGCAACGCCGCGUGAGUGAUGAAGGUCUUCGGAUCGUAAAACUCUUUUAUUAGGGAAGAACAAAUGUGUAAGUAACUAUGCACGUCUUGACGGUACCUAAUCAGAAAGCCACGGCUAACUACGUG
This 497-nucleotide ribosomal RNA is filed under the name uncultured bacterium. RNAcentral describes it as "partial 16S ribosomal RNA". It matches the Rfam family "Bacterial small subunit ribosomal RNA", at positions 28 to 507 of the family's 1533-position model. The record is from RNAcentral.